UGUUUAUAGUCAUUCAGGCGAUAUAAAAACAAAAAAGUCUUAACCAGGUCUGCAGUGGCUACAGUCAGUACACUUUGUUGAAUAUUUGAAGGUGAUCAGCUCACCAUGCACAAAUGAUUCUGUGGGAAUAAAGAAGGCAGCAGCUAUCAUUCCAAGCAAGGUGAUGAACUUCAGAAACCAGAACCUAAGUGAAGAUAUUGAGAAUAUAAAGAUUGCCAUCAUCAAGUAGAAACAAGCUGUGCCAAAGCACACCCUGUAGACAGCCGAGUACCCCACCAACAUCUGACAGUUCCCUCCACCAUGAGCCUCAUCGCAGACCACAUUAAAGAAAGGC
Misgurnus anguillicaudatus (oriental weatherfish) is the source of this 334-nucleotide long non-coding RNA. RefSeq lists it as uncharacterized. The record is from RefSeq and is a predicted model, not a curated record. NCBI's taxonomy places the organism in Eukaryota, Metazoa, Chordata, Actinopteri, Cypriniformes, Cobitidae.